AUUGAACGCUGGCGGCAGGCCUAACACAUGCAAGUCGAACGGUAACAGGAAACAGCUUGCUGUUUCGCUGACGAGUGGCGGACGGGUGAGUAAUGUCUGGGAAACUGCCUGAUGGAGGGGGAUAACUACUGGAAACGGUAGCUAAUACCGCAUAACGUCGCAAGACCAAAGAGGGGGACCUUCGGGCCUCUUGCCAUCGGAUGUGCCCAGAUGGGAUUAGCUAGUAGGUGGGGUAACGGCUCACCUAGGCGACGAUCCCUAGCUGGUCUGAGAGGAUGACCAGCCACACUGGAACUGAGACACGGUCCAGACUCCUACGGGAGGCAGCAGUGGGGAAUAUUGCACAAUGGGCGCAAGCCUGAUGCAGCCAUGCCGCGUGUAUGAAGAAGGCCUUCGGGUUGUAAAGUACUUUCAGCGGGGAGGAAGGGAGUAAAGUUAAUACCUUUGCUCAUUGACGUA
This 459-nucleotide ribosomal RNA is filed under the name uncultured bacterium. RNAcentral's name for it is "bacterial SSU rRNA". It matches the Rfam family "Bacterial small subunit ribosomal RNA", at positions 30 to 476 of the family's 1533-position model. The record is from RNAcentral.